UUGUCAUUAGUUGCUACGGUAACGGGCACUCUAGUGAGACUGCCGGUGACAAACCGGAGGAAGGUGGGGAUGACGUCAAGUCCUCAUGGCCCUUAUGGGUAGGGCUUCACACGUCAUACAAUGGCGCAUACAGAGGGCUGCCAACCCGCGAGGGGGAGCCAAUCCCAGAAAGUGCGUCGUAGUCCGGAUUGCAGUCUGCAACUCGACUGCAUGAAGUCGGAAUCGCUAGUAAUCGCGGAUCAGCAUGUCGCGGUGAAUACGUUCCCGGGUCUU
This 273-nucleotide ribosomal RNA is filed under the name uncultured bacterium. RNAcentral describes it as "partial 16S ribosomal RNA". It matches the Rfam family "Bacterial small subunit ribosomal RNA", at positions 1105 to 1382 of the family's 1533-position model. The record is from RNAcentral.